CAGGAGAUAUGGUGUGUUGGGGGGCUGUCUGUAUAGCUGGGGAUGAUGUUUCAGGAGAUAUGGUGUGUUGGGGGGCUGUCUGUAUAGCUGGGGAAGAUGUUUCAGGAGAUAUGGUGUGUUGGGGGCUCUGUCUGUAUAGCUGGGGAAGAUGUUUCAGGAGAUAUGGUGUGUUGGGGGGCUGUCUGUAUAGCUGGGGAAGAUGUUUCAGGAGAUAUGGUGUGUUGGGGGCUGAUAUGGUGUGUUGGGGGGGCUGUCUGUAUAGCUGGGGAAGAUGUUUCAGGAGAUAUGGUGUGUUAGGGGGCUGUCUGUAUAGCUGGGGAAGAUGUUUCAGGAGAUAUGGUGUGUUGGGGGGCUGUCUGUAUAGCUGGGGAAGAUGUUUCAGGAGAUAUGGUGUGUUCUGGGGGCUGUCUGUAUAGCUGGGGAAGAUGUUUCAGGAGAUAUGGUGUGUUAGGGGGCUGUCUGUAUAGCUGGGGAUGAUGUUUCAGGAGAUAUGGUGUGUUAUAGGGGCUGUCUGUAUAGCUGGGGAAGAUGUUUCAGGAGAUAUCUGUAUAGCUGGGGAAGAUGUUUCAGGAGAUAUGGUGUGUUGGGGGGCUGUCUGUAUAGCUGGGGAUGAUGUUUCAGGAGAUAUGGUGUGUUAGGGGG
Molecule: long non-coding RNA, 642 nt
Organism: Oncorhynchus tshawytscha (Chinook salmon)
Lineage: Eukaryota; Metazoa; Chordata; Actinopteri; Salmoniformes; Salmonidae
Source: Ensembl